RNAcentral lists this ribosomal RNA (57 nucleotides) under Indigofera pendula. RNAcentral's name for it is "partial 18S ribosomal RNA". It matches the Rfam family "Eukaryotic small subunit ribosomal RNA", at positions 1776 to 1831 of the family's 1831-position model. The record is from RNAcentral. Lineage: Eukaryota; Viridiplantae; Streptophyta; Magnoliopsida; Fabales; Fabaceae.
UUGAAAGUAAAAGUCGUAACAAGGUUUCUGUAGGUGAACCUGCGGAAGGAUCAUUGU